This 1043-nucleotide ribosomal RNA is filed under the name Acinetobacter baumannii. Its description in RNAcentral is "bacterial SSU rRNA". It matches the Rfam family "Bacterial small subunit ribosomal RNA", at positions 9 to 1046 of the family's 1533-position model. The record is from RNAcentral. Lineage: Bacteria; Pseudomonadati; Pseudomonadota; Gammaproteobacteria; Moraxellales; Moraxellaceae.
GAGUUUGAUCCUGGCUCAGAUUGAACGCUGGCGGCAGGCUUAACACAUGCAAGUCGAGCGGGGGAAGGUAGCUUGCUACUGGACCUAGCGGCGGACGGGUGAGUAAUGCUUAGGAAUCUGCCUAUUAGUGGGGGACAACAUCUCGAAAGGGAUGCUAAUACCGCAUACGUCCUACGGGAGAAAGCAGGGGAUCUUCGGACCUUGCGCUAAUAGAUGAGCCUAAGUCGGAUUAGCUAGUUGGUGGGGUAAAGGCCUACCAAGGCGACGAUCUGUAGCGGGUCUGAGAGGAUGAUCCGCCACACUGGGACUGAGACACGGCCCAGACUCCUACGGGAGGCAGCAGUGGGGAAUAUUGGACAAUGGGGGGAACCCUGAUCCAGCCAUGCCGCGUGUGUGAAGAAGGCCUUAUGGUUGUAAAGCACUUUAAGCGAGGAGGAGGCUACUUUAGUUAAUACCUAGAGAUAGUGGACGUUACUCGCAGAAUAAGCACCGGCUAACUCUGUGCCAGCAGCCGCGGUAAUACAGAGGGUGCGAGCGUUAAUCGGAUUUACUGGGCGUAAAGCGUGCGUAGGCGGCUUAUUAAGUCGGAUGUGAAAUCCCCGAGCUUAACUUGGGAAUUGCAUUCGAUACUGGUGAGCUAGAGUAUGGGAGAGGAUGGUAGAAUUCCAGGUGUAGCGGUGAAAUGCGUAGAGAUCUGGAGGAAUACCGAUGGCGAAGGCAGCCAUCUGGCCUAAUACUGACGCUGAGGUACGAAAGCAUGGGGAGCAAACAGGAUUAGAUACCCUGGUAGUCCAUGCCGUAAACGAUGUCUACUAGCCGUUGGGGCCUUUGAGGCUUUAGUGGCGCAGCUAACGCGAUAAGUAGACCGCCUGGGGAGUACGGUCGCAAGACUAAAACUCAAAUGAAUUGACGGGGGCCCGCACAAGCGGUGGAGCAUGUGGUUUAAUUCGAUGCAACGCGAAGAACCUUACCUGGCCUUGACAUACUAGAAACUUUCCAGAGAUGGAUUGGUGCCUUCGGGAAUCUAGAUACAGGUGCUGCAU